AUGAAUGUGUUAAGUUGGAACUGCCGGGGAGGGGGGAAUCCUCGGACAGUUCGUGAGUUGGCGGCAAUCACACAGUCGCAUUCCCCCAAGUUGGUGUUUUUGUGUGAGACAAGGCAGAAGGCUGAUAAGAUGAGGAGGAUCCGUGGGCGGUUAGGGUUGAAAGGUUUUGCCGGAGUGGACAGCGCCGGGAUGAGUGGAGGAUUGGCUUUGUUUUGGCAUGGAGAAACCCAAUGGAGGAUUACGUGCGUUUAUGGAGAGCCCAGAGUGGAGAACCGUCAUCUUAUGUGGGAGAAGCUACAAGGAUUGAAGAAUACUAGUGAUGUUCCU
Molecule: ribosomal RNA, 327 nt
Filed under: Triticum aestivum (bread wheat)
Lineage: Eukaryota; Viridiplantae; Streptophyta; Magnoliopsida; Poales; Poaceae
Description: partial small subunit ribosomal RNA
Source: RNAcentral